UGGGGAAUAUUGGACAAUGGGCGAAAGCCUGAUCCAGCCAUGCCGCGUGUGUGAAGAAGGUCUUCGGAUUGUAAAGCACUUUAAGUUGGGAGGAAGGGCAGUAAGCGAAUACCUUGCUGUUUUGACGUUACCGACAGAAUAAGCACCGGCUAACUCUGUGCCAGCAGCCGCGGUAAUACAGAGGGUGCAAGCGUUAAUCGGAAUUACUGGGCGUAAAGCGCGCGUAGGUGGUUCGUUAAGUUGAAUGCGAAAGCCCCGGGCUCAACCUGGGAACUGCAUCCAAAACUGGCGAGCUAGAGUAGGGCAGAGGGUGGUGGAAUUUCCUGUGUAGCGGUGAAAUGCGUAGAUAUAGGAAGGAACACCAGUGGCGAAGGCGACCACCUGGGCUCAUACUGACACUGAGGUGCGAAAGCGUGGGGAGCAAACAGG
RNAcentral lists this ribosomal RNA (429 nucleotides) under Pseudomonadota bacterium. RNAcentral describes it as "Proteobacteria bacterium partial 16S ribosomal RNA". It matches the Rfam family "Bacterial small subunit ribosomal RNA", at positions 355 to 776 of the family's 1533-position model. The record is from RNAcentral. Lineage: Bacteria; Pseudomonadati; Pseudomonadota.